CAAAAUACAGCAAAGACCUAAGUUCUAGCUUCAACUUGCAAAGAUAGUCUUCAGCUCAAACUUCCCCGAUUUAUUUUAACUGCUAAAGCAGUACCCUAAGGCACUAGGACAAGAAGCAGAUGAACAUGUAUAGCCAGUAUUGGGCCACCAUGCCCGUCCCACCUAGACUCAUACCUUGUCUCAUCCACUCGACCUCGUCCUCGGUGACAAAGCUGCACAAGGCUUUUGCCAUUGCCAAUCGUAUUGCUCCAGCCUGCGCCGACCUCCCGCCCCCUGAGACUGUGCAGGUCACAUCGUGCUUUCCCAGCCGGUCAACAAAGUGGAAAGGGAACAUCAGCUGUUCUCUAAAGCACAGCACAAGUAAAUGUGGUUACAUUUACUAUAAAGAUACAUAAUAAUGUAAACAACUGAAAUUCUGAAUAUUCAUAAAAACAAUAUUCUGCAUGC
This 447-nucleotide non-coding RNA is filed under the name Pongo abelii (Sumatran orangutan). The record is from RNAcentral. Lineage: Eukaryota; Metazoa; Chordata; Mammalia; Primates; Hominidae.